AUGUGAUCGUCUCUCGCAUAUCAAUAAGCGGAGGAAAAGAAACUAACAAGGAUUCCCCUAGUAACGGCGAGUGAAGCGGGAAGAGCUCAAAUUUGAAAUCUUAAAGGGUUUCCCUUUACGAAUUGUAGUUUAAAGAAGUGUUUUCUGUUGAGGUUUUGGUAAAAGUUCUUUGGAAUAGGACAUCAUAGAGGGUGAGAAUCCCGUAUUUGACCUUUACUUUCAACUUUGUGAUACACUUUCAAAGAGUCGGAUUGUUUGGGAAUGCAGUCCAAAAUGGGUGGUAAAUUUCAUCUAAAGCUAAAUAUUGGCGAGAGACCGAUAGCGAACAAGUACCGUGAGGGAAAGAUGAAAAGAACUUUGAAGAGAGAGUUAAACAGUACGUGAAAUUGUCAAAAGGGAAGCGUUUAACACCAGUGUUGUUUUUCUGAAAAUCAAUUAAAGAACUGUUUAUGCUAAGUUGUUUAGACUUUAUCAGCUAACUGUUUAGUUUUGAGCUUUUCUUUAAUGCACUUUUCAGUUAACAAGUCAACAUCAAUUUCUUUUGCUGUAAAAAAGCUUGAGGAAGGUGGCUUGAGAUUCGUCUUAAGUGUUUAUAGCCUCUUGCCUAUGCAGUCGGAGAGAUUGAGGUCUGCAGCGUAGAUCCUUCGGGGCUAAAUGCAUUUGUGCUAAGUUAUAGCAUUUUAUAGACAACUUGUUGACUAUGAUUUGUCUUGUAGCUUACUCGCUUAUGUUAUUUUACCUACGCUUAGGAUGUUGAGCGCAUGUCUCUCUCU
This 773-nucleotide ribosomal RNA is filed under the name uncultured Neocallimastigales. RNAcentral's name for it is "partial large subunit ribosomal RNA". It matches the Rfam family "Eukaryotic large subunit ribosomal RNA", at positions 24 to 616 of the family's 3401-position model. The record is from RNAcentral. Lineage: Eukaryota; Fungi; Neocallimastigomycota; Neocallimastigomycetes; Neocallimastigales.